RNAcentral lists this non-coding RNA (30 nucleotides) under Rattus norvegicus (Norway rat). The record is from RNAcentral. Lineage: Eukaryota; Metazoa; Chordata; Mammalia; Rodentia; Muridae.
UACUCCAAUUGGCAGUCUCAUUUCCAUCAC